RNAcentral lists this unclassified non-coding RNA (349 nucleotides) under soil metagenome. Its description in RNAcentral is "partial contains 5.8S ribosomal RNA, internal transcribed spacer 2, and large subunit ribosomal RNA". The stretch from base 1 to 120 matches the Rfam family "5.8S ribosomal RNA", at positions 35 to 154 of the family's 154-position model. The record is from RNAcentral.
GAUGAAGAACGCAGCGAAAUGCGAUAAGUAAUGUGAAUUGCAGAAUUCCGUGAAUCAUCGAAUCUUUGAACGCACAUUGCGCCCUCUGGUAUUCCGGGGGGCAUGCCUGUCCGAGCGUCAUUGCAACCCUCAAGCACGGCUUGUGUGUUGGGCGAUCGUCCCGUCUUAGGAGGGACGCGCCCGAAAGGCAGUGACGGCGUCGUGUUCCGGUGCCCGAGCGUAUGGGGCUUUGUCUUUCGCUCUAGUGGCCUGGCCGACUGUCCGGUCUAACCAUCAUUUACUUCUAGUGGUUGACCUCGGAUCAGGUAGGGUUACCCGCUGAACUUAAGCAUAUCAAUAAGCGGAGGAA